RNAcentral lists this non-coding RNA (26 nucleotides) under Mus musculus (house mouse). The record is from RNAcentral. Lineage: Eukaryota; Metazoa; Chordata; Mammalia; Rodentia; Muridae.
UCCUAGGUUUGCUGUCAAAAGGAUUC